CCGCCACGUGCAGGUGCGGCAGUGUGCGGCCGAACUGCUCCUGUCCCUGCUGGAGAGAAUUGGAGUCACGGAGCUGGCAGGCACAGCCAGGGCUGAGAGGCUGGCGCACGCGGCAGCGACGCUUGCUCAGGACUGACACAGGGACACAAGGCAUUAUAGCCAGGAGAUGGUGAAGAUGUUGCUGAAUCACCAAGAAUGAAAAAUGCUUUUGGAACCAUCCAUUCCCGCCCAUGACCUGGAGGAUAUUCUGAGAAGAAUGAAGAAGAAAGGGAUGGAAGAGCAGAAGGGUGAACGCCCAUCUGUCAAGAGCCCUGUGAAGAAGAGCAGCGAUGGCUCCAAGAAGCCCCAGGCCCCAUUGCCUUCUAGUCAAGGGUACUGAGCACUUUUGUUAGAUGUGACAAAGCACAAGACAAGCUUGACAUGUCUCUUCCUCAGGAAAAUCUUUCUGGCAGAGAUGGCCAGAGAUUGUUUCCUUUCCCUACAAAUGCUGUAUGAUAAAAAAAUAUCUGCUUCUGCAUGACA
This is a long non-coding RNA of Catharus ustulatus (Swainson's thrush), 522 nucleotides long. RefSeq lists it as uncharacterized. The record is from RefSeq and is a predicted model, not a curated record. The transcript is spliced from 3 exons. Lineage: Eukaryota; Metazoa; Chordata; Aves; Passeriformes; Turdidae.